CCGACGGUGAGAGGCGAAAGCUGGGGGCACGAACCGGAUUAGAUACCCGGGUAGUCCCAGCCGUAAACGAUGCUCGCUAGGUGUCUGGGAUGGUGCGACCGUUUCAGGUGCCGCAGGGAAGCCGUGAAGCGAGCCACCUGGGAAGUACGGCCGCAAGGCUGAAACUUAAAGGAAUUGGCGGGGGAGCACUACAACGGGUGGAGCCUGCGGUUUAAUUGGACUCAACGCCGGAAAACUCACCUGGGC
RNAcentral lists this ribosomal RNA (246 nucleotides) under uncultured archaeon. RNAcentral's name for it is "partial 16S ribosomal RNA". It matches the Rfam family "Archaeal small subunit ribosomal RNA", at positions 691 to 936 of the family's 1478-position model. The record is from RNAcentral.